CUUGAUGGAGCCGAGCAGCAGCGGGCUGCCGUCCGCGGGGCGCUCCUGGCCGUAGGUCUCCAGCAGUGCCUGGGCCUC
This 78-nucleotide antisense RNA is filed under the name Streptomyces sp. ADI92-24. RNAcentral's name for it is "ASpks TB sRNA". It matches the Rfam family "ASpks TB sRNA". Lineage: Bacteria; Bacillati; Actinomycetota; Actinomycetes; Kitasatosporales; Streptomycetaceae. The record is from RNAcentral.